UGGCAGGUGAAAUAUUUGCUUUUGAUGUCCCAGAAGCGGUCGCCAUAGUCAAACCUGUCAGAGGAAAACAGGAGCUUGUGGGACCUGGACCCAGCCACCAAGAGCCCACCCCGAAGACCCUGUGGAUCCUGCUCCCUGAGAGGGACCCGACACCCAACCUAUCUUCUCCAGAUGGGAUCUGAGCCCCUUGUAUGUUCUAUGGACUUUCAGCAUCAGCAUUGCCUGGGGACUUUUUAGAAAUGCAGAAUCCUGGGCCCCAUCCCAAGCCUACUGAUUCAAAAUCUCUCUGGGAGGCACAGGACUGUUUCCCCAAGUCCUCCAGGAAAUACUUAUGUACACUGAAAUCUGAGAAGCUCUGCACUACUCCAUGCCUGGACACCAGGUACAUGCCAGCCUUCAGGUCCCAGGUUUGCUGCAUCUCCCACCCCCUGGCAGAGCCCCUAGAGACCCCUAGAGUCUCACCCUAGCUCCUCCCCAGUCCGGAUGUCUCGGGAACUGAAGAAGGCGAUGCGUGGAAAUCGCAGGUCUUGGUGCAGCAUGAAGACCCGGACGGGAAUGAUGUUGGGGUCACACAGGUGGUUGAUGAAGCGGCUGAUGUUGCCAUAGUAACGGGCAUCUAUGCAGUACACCUCUCCAUCCUGGGGCAGGGGGAUGGCACUCUUCACAUCUCCCCCGACCCUGCUUGCCCUCCCCACCCACUGACUCCCCAGUCCCUCCUCCCCAGGUUUCCAUUUGCUGACUUCCCAGAGGCUCCUGAAAGCCAGCCCUGGGGAGCAGCAGGGUAAGGAGGGUCUCCUGCUCACCUUGUUGUCUAAGUCGAAGAGGUAAGAAUCAUCCUCUCUCACAUCAGCCUCAGCAUCAGAGAUCAGCUCCCCGACAUACCUGUGGGACAGGAAUCCAUGGUUCUGAAGGUGAGUGUGGGCUAUUAGGAGGUGGCUCCAGGCCCCAUCUCUCUUCACAAGCCUGUGGAAUCUGGAAUGGGCAGGGCUGGCAGGUGUGGGGAAGGGAAGGCCUGGAGCAGCAGUGGUGGGCAAGUGAAAGGGCAGCAUUCCAGCCUUGACAGAGGAAGCCUUCAGUCAGCACAGAGACAGACAACAAGCUCUGUGGUUAAGGGGAUUAAUGUGUAGGGGCAGUUGGCCUGGGUGGGGAAGUUCGGGUUUGGACACAGAGAGGUUUGUGUUCCAGGAGCCACCCGGCAGGAAUGGGCGAUAUGGAACAGGAGAGGGGCCAGGACUGCAGGAAGAGCCAGAGGUACAGGAGUGGCAAGGAACUCAAGGCAUGAUUCGGGGCAAGAGCACCCACACAUAUCUGGACACCAGAGGGAGGAGAGGAGCCAGCUAUCUAAGGAGGGUGAGCAGACAUGGGAGAUUCAGACACACGGAGAGGACGUGGGUGGGAAGUGACUGUCAAGAGACAGCUUCAGCAGAGUGGGAAGGGCAAAGGCCGAUUUUGGCAGGGACAGGCAGUGAGUGGAUGGUGGGGAAACUGAGGCCCAGCAGGAAGGGGCUGCUUGCCAGAGAAGUUGAGAGAUGACAUGAUGGAAAGAAACUGGAUGGUCUGUUGAACAGGCAAGUAUGGUUAGAGGACUAUCUUUUUUAAAGGCCAAAGAAUGGUCAGGCACGGUGGCUCACGCCUGUAAUCCCAGCACUUUGGGAGGCCGAGGUGGGCGGAUCAUCUGAGGUCAGGAGUUGGAGACCAGCCUGGCUAACAUGGUGAAACUCCGUUUCUACUAAAAAUACAAAAAAUUAGCCGGGUGUGGUGGUGCGCACCUGUAAUCCCAGCUACUUGGGAGGCUGAGGCAGGAGAAUCGCUUGAACCUGGGAGGUGGAGACUGCAGUGAGCCAAGAUUGUGCCAUUGCACUCCAGCUUGGGCAACAAGAGUGAAACUCCGUCUCAAAAAAUAAAUUAAAAAAAAAAAAAAAAAAGAGCCAAAGGAGACUAAAGUAAGAUUGAGGGUUGUGGGAUGGCAGCCAAGAGAAAGGGGGAGAUUACAGAUGCUGGGCAGAGAAAGAACUGAUGGAGAGGGACAGGCCCCUGAGGAGGUGGACAGAUAGGUAGCUGUUAUCACCUCCACUCUACAGACAAGAAAAAUAAGGCUCAAAGAGGUUAAGUAACUUGGCCAAGAACAUCCAGAAGCAGAGAGGGGCUCAAACCCAAGUCUGUUUGUCUCCCAAACUGGCACUUUCUCCAGCUAGGAAGGGCGAGGAGGGGGUGGAGGGGAAGGUAGAGGGUGGAGGUGGAGGGGAGGGAAGACAAGCUCUGUGGUCUGGGCAGAGUGGAGGCAGGUGCCAUUCUCAGCUGGGGGGAUGGGGGUCAGAGGCGGCUGGCUGCUCAGCUGCAGGAAUAGGGGUCAGAGGAGGCUGGCUGGAGAGUGGCCAGAUGGAGACAUGUGACUCAUCAGGGCAGAUGGCUGAGAGGGAGGCCUGGCAGUCAGCAGUGGCCAUGUAUCCCCUUCCCACCAGGUGUUAAGGUGCUCCCGGUGACUUACUCGCAGAUGAAGGUCCCCUGUGGGAUGGUCUGCAGGGCGCGGACCCCCCAGCCCAUCUUGGCUGUUCGGUAGAGCUGUAGCCGCACCCUGGGGGUAGGAGAGAUGGCGCUGUUGGGUGGAGGCCCUGGAAAAGCCCCAGGGGCAGGGAGGAAAGGGUGAGGUGGGGAGAGGGUGGGCUGUGGAGCAGGGCCUCACUUGAUGCCACUCUGUACGACCCGGUUCUUGCAGUUUCUCCAGCAUGAGCACGCCUGGUUACACUCGAAAAUCAGCGGAGGCUCAAUCUUGUUAAAUUCCUGGAGCAAUCGCCCAUCCUAGGGUGCGGAGGGGAGGAUAGUGGUUUCUCUGUGGGGCCCACCUCAGCUGCCCACCCAGGAACCCCAAGACUCUACAGAGACAGGGAAGUUGGGGUUGGGGAGGUCACACAGGCUCUGAGAUCCGAGAGCACGAAAUGCAGGAGCAUCAUCCCUGGUUUGCAUAGACCUGGGCACACGCCCAUCGCUGUCCCAGCCACAUCCCAGGAUUCCCAGGCCUUGCCCAGUCCUCUCAGUCACUUCCCCCACAGGGUAGGAGGUGAGGGACAUGGUCCCAGGGAGCUGGUUUAUUGGAGGCUGGCUCCUCUGAAGGAGGGGCCGGGUGUCUGUGGCCAAGGCAAGGGGCACGCACCUUGUCAUACCAGCACCGGAUGCUGAGCUGGCCGCACAGGCAGUUGGAGCUAGAGCAGUCGUCCACACACGUGCAGUGCUGGGGCGAGGAGGCAGAGGUGCCUUUGCUGGUUUGAAGCUUGUCCAACUGUACUUGGCAGCUCUCGGUGUCCUUUUGGGGAGGCCCCGGGCCCCCUACUCACCUGCAGGGCAGGGCUCCCCAUCCACACCGUUGACACAGGGAAUGGGCACGUUCUCAUAGCCCCGAGCCACGUCCCUGCAGAAGACGGGAAGAAGGGGCUGGGAAGCUGGAAAAGGGGGUGAGGAGCUACUCCAGGUAUAAGGAAGAGAGUUGGGGAGGUUCCUGGGGCUGGGGGCAGGGGAGUAAGGUUGCCAGGUAAGAUGCAGGACAGCGAGUUAACAUAGAAUUUUAGAUAAACAAGAAAUAGCUUUUUAGUAUGUCCCAAAAAUUACACAGGACAUUCUCACACUAAAAAAGUAUGCAUCUGUGCAUCUGAAAUUCCAGUUUAACUGGGUGUCUUCUAUUUUUAUUUGCUGUAUCUGGCAACCCUAGUGGGGAGGGGGCCUGUGGGUGGUUCUGGGGAUUCAGUGGUGCAUGGGGAGGGGUUGGGGAAUGUUGUGAGGAUGCAAUGGAGCCUGGGGAGGGUAUGGGUGGGGAGGAGGUGGUCUUGGGUGCAGAGAGGGGCCCAGGGCUCACCGGCAGAUGAUCUUCUCUGUGCGGAUGGCCCGAUUUCCCACCCCAAGUCGGAGCUUGCGGUUGAGUUGAAGCGCAAACCACACGUCGGAGCGCUCGG
RNAcentral lists this long non-coding RNA (3944 nucleotides) under Homo sapiens (human). Its description in RNAcentral is "HSALNT0104619". Lineage: Eukaryota; Metazoa; Chordata; Mammalia; Primates; Hominidae. The record is from RNAcentral.